GGGUCUGUAGCUCAGUUUGGUUAGAGCGCCUGCUUGACACGCAGGAGGUCUGCGGUUCGAGCCCGCACAGACCCACCA
Molecule: transfer RNA, 78 nt
Filed under: Acidobacteria bacterium RIFCSPLOWO2_02_FULL_61_28
Lineage: Bacteria; Pseudomonadati; Acidobacteriota
Description: tRNA-Val
Rfam family: tRNA
About the family: Transfer RNA (tRNA) molecules are approximately 80 nucleotides in length. Their secondary structure includes four short double-helical elements and three loops (D, anti-codon, and T loops). Further hydrogen bonds mediate the characteristic L-shaped molecular structure. tRNAs have two regions of fundamental functional importance: the anti-codon, which is responsible for specific mRNA codon recognition, and the 3' end, to which the tRNAs corresponding amino acid is attached (by aminoacyl-tRNA synthetases). tRNAs cope with the degeneracy of the genetic code in two manners: having more than one tRNA (with a specific anti-codon) for a particular amino acid; and 'wobble' base-pairing, i.e. permitting non-standard base-pairing at the 3rd anti-codon position.
Source: RNAcentral